UACAGAGGUCCCAAGCGUUGUUCGGAUUCACUGGGCGUAAAGGGUGCGUAGGCGGUCGGGUAAGUCUGACGUGAAAUCUUCGAGCUCAACUCGGAAACUGCGUCGGAAACUAUUCGGCUAGAGGAAUGGAGGGGAGACUGGAAUACUUGGUGUAGCAGUGAAAUGCGUAGAUAUCGUAAGGAAGACCAGUGGCGAAGGCGGGUCUCUGGACAGUUCCUGACGCUGAGGCACGAAGGCCAGGGGAGCAAACGGG
This 253-nucleotide ribosomal RNA is filed under the name uncultured bacterium. RNAcentral describes it as "partial 16S ribosomal RNA". It matches the Rfam family "Bacterial small subunit ribosomal RNA", at positions 524 to 776 of the family's 1533-position model. The record is from RNAcentral.